UACGAGGGGUCCUAGCGUUGUUCGGAAUCAUUGGGCGUAAAGAGUAUGUAGGCGGCCAAAUAAGUCAGGUGUGAAAUCCCCGGGCUCAACCCGGGAAGUGCAUUUGAUACUGUUUGGCUUGAGUAUGGAAGAGGGUAGUGGAAUUCCUGGUGUAGUGGUGAAAUACGUAGAUAUCAGGAGGAAUACCGGUGGCGAAGGCGGCUACCUGGUCCUAUACUGACGCUGAGAUACGAAAGCAUGGGUAGCAAACAGG
Molecule: ribosomal RNA, 253 nt
Filed under: uncultured bacterium
Lineage: Bacteria
Description: partial 16S ribosomal RNA
Rfam family: Bacterial small subunit ribosomal RNA
Source: RNAcentral